RNAcentral lists this non-coding RNA (29 nucleotides) under Mus musculus (house mouse). Lineage: Eukaryota; Metazoa; Chordata; Mammalia; Rodentia; Muridae. The record is from RNAcentral.
UGUGUUUUGUUCCUAUCUCUCACUCAAGG